RNAcentral lists this ribosomal RNA (292 nucleotides) under uncultured bacterium. RNAcentral's name for it is "partial 16S ribosomal RNA". It matches the Rfam family "Bacterial small subunit ribosomal RNA", at positions 773 to 1060 of the family's 1533-position model. The record is from RNAcentral.
GUGGAUUAGAUACCCUGGUAGUCCUAGCCGUAAACGGUGCUUGCUUGCUGUAAAAGGAAUCGACCCCUUUUGUGGCGAAGCCAACGCGAUAAGCAAGCCGCCUGGGAAGUACGGUCGCAAGAUUAAAACUCAAAGAAAUUGACGGGGGCCUGCACAAGCGGUGGAGUAUGUGGCUUAAUUCGAUGCAACGCGAAGAACCUUACCUGGCCUUGACAUGCAUCUAGUAGAAGGGUGAAAGCCUGACGAGGUAGCAAUACCAGGAUGCACAGGUGCUGCACGGCUGUCGUCAACU